Molecule: ribosomal RNA, 475 nt
Filed under: uncultured bacterium
Lineage: Bacteria
Description: bacterial SSU rRNA
Rfam family: Bacterial small subunit ribosomal RNA
Source: RNAcentral
AGGACGAACGCUGGCGGCGUGCCUAACACAUGCAAGUCGAGCGAGGAGAUCCUUCGGGAUGAUCCUAGCGGCGGACGGGUGAGUAACACGUGGGCAACCUGCCUCAUAGAGAGGAAUAGCCUUCCGAAAGGGAGAUUAAUACCUCAUAACAUUGCAGUUUCGCAUGGAACAGCAAUUAAAGGAGUAAUCCGCUGUGAGAUGGGCCCGCGGCGCAUUAGCUAGUUGGUGAGGUAACGGCUCACCAAGGCGACGAUGCGUAGCCGACCUGAGAGGGUGAUCGGCCACAUUGGGACUGAGACACGGCCCAGACUCCUACGGGAGGCAGCAGUGGGGAAUAUUGCACAAUGGGGGAAACCCUGAUGCCAGCAACGCCGCGUGAGUGAUGACGGCCUUCGGGUUGUAAAGCUCUGUCUUCAGGGACGAUAAUGACGGUACCUGAGGAGGAAGCCACGGCUAACUACGUGCCAGCCGCCGC